This is a non-coding RNA of Jatropha curcas, 244 nucleotides long. NCBI's taxonomy places the organism in Eukaryota, Viridiplantae, Streptophyta, Magnoliopsida, Malpighiales, Euphorbiaceae. The record is from RefSeq and is a predicted model, not a curated record.
CCAUCAAGUGCUCUUCGUCUGCAAUGAAUUCGGGCAUAUCAUCAUUCCAAGAUCCAGUGAUUGUUCUACGGGUUAAAAUUGCAGCUUUGCUUGUUGAAGCAUUGGUGCAGAUGAUCAGUAUCAUUAGCAGAACAGGUAAAGACAAUUCGACAGACCCUCCUUUCAUUUCAGCUGAUCUCUUUUUUGCUUUUUUGCCUCAAUUUCUCCCUAUAUGGAAUUAUAUCAGUGUGACUCUUAUUUGGCU